UGAGGAAUAUUGGGCAAUGCCCGCAAGGGUGACCCAGCAACGCCGCGUGGAGGAUGAAUGUCGUAAGAUUGUAAACUCCUGUUAGAGGGGAAGAAUAGUACCGGUUGGACCGGUAUAUGACUGUACCCUCAGAGAAAGCCCCGGCUAACUACGCGCCAGCAGCCGCGGUAAUACGGAGGGUGCAAGCGUUAUCCGGAAUCAUUGGGUUUAAAGGGUCCGCAGGCGGAUAUAUAAGUCAGUGGUGAAAUCCUGCAGCUUAACUGCAGAACUGCCAUUGAUACUGUAUAUCUUGAAUUGAGUGGGAGUGGGCGGAAUAUGACAUGUAGCGGUGAAAUGCAUAGAUAUGUCAUAGAACACCGAAAGCGAAGGCAGCUCACUAUACUUAAAUUGACGCUCAUGGACGAAAGCGUGGGGAGCAAACA
RNAcentral lists this ribosomal RNA (422 nucleotides) under uncultured bacterium. RNAcentral describes it as "bacterial SSU rRNA". It matches the Rfam family "Bacterial small subunit ribosomal RNA", at positions 355 to 774 of the family's 1533-position model. The record is from RNAcentral.